GACGAACGCUGGCGGCGUGCUUAACACAUGCAAGUCGAACGGAAAGGCCCUGCUUUUGUGGGGUGCUCGAGUGGCGAACGGGUGAGUAACACGUGAGUAACCUGCCCUUGACUUUGGGAUAACUUCAGGAAACUGGGGCUAAUACCGGAUAGGAUCUCCUGCUGCAUGUUGGGGGUUGGAAAGUUUCGGCGGUUGGGGAUGGACUCGCGGCUUAUCAGCUUGUUGGUGGGGUAGUGGCUUACCAAGGGUUUGACGGGUAGCCGGCCUGAGAGGGUGACCGGCCACAUUGGGACUGAGAUACGGACCAGACUGCUACGGGAGGCAGCAGUGGGGAAUAUUGCAGAAUGGGCGGAAGCCUGAUGCAGCAACGCCGCGUGCGGGAUGACGGCCUUCGGGUUGUAAACCGAUUUCGCAUGUGACGAAGAGUGAGUGACGGUAAUGGGUAAAGAAGCACCGGCUAACUACGUG
This 468-nucleotide ribosomal RNA is filed under the name uncultured bacterium. RNAcentral describes it as "partial 16S ribosomal RNA". It matches the Rfam family "Bacterial small subunit ribosomal RNA", at positions 28 to 507 of the family's 1533-position model. The record is from RNAcentral.